UGGGAAUUUGGACAAUGGGCGAAGCUGAUCCAGCAAUGCCGCGUGAGGGAUGACGGCCUUCGGGUUGUAAACCUCUUUCAGCAGGGAAGAAGCGAAAGUGACGGUACCUGCAGAAGAAGCGCCGGCUAACUACGUGCCAGCAGCCGCGGUAAUACGUAGGGCGCAAGCGUUGUCCGGAAUUAUUGGGCGUAAAGAGCUCGUAGGCGGUUAGUCGCGUCUGCUGUGAAAACUCGAGGCUCAACCUCGGGCUUGCAGUGGGUACGGGCUGACUAGAGUGCGGUAGGGGUGACUGGAAUUCCUGGUGUAGCGGUGGAAUGCGCAGAUAUCAGGAGGAACACCGAUGGCGAAGGCAGGUCACUGGGCCGCAACUGACGCUGAGGAGCGAAAGCAUGGGGAGCGAAACAGGAUUAGAUACCCUGGUAGUCCAUGCCGU
RNAcentral lists this ribosomal RNA (433 nucleotides) under uncultured bacterium. Its description in RNAcentral is "partial 16S ribosomal RNA". It matches the Rfam family "Bacterial small subunit ribosomal RNA", at positions 357 to 803 of the family's 1533-position model. The record is from RNAcentral.